GACGAACGCUGGCGGCGUGCUUAACACAUGCAAGUCGAACGGAAAGGCCCUGCUUUUGUGGGGUGCUCGAGUGGCGAACGGGUGAGUAACACGUGAGUAACCUGCCCUUGACUUUGGGAUAACUUCAGGAAACUGGGGCUAAUACCGGAUAGGAGCUCCUGCUGCAUGGUGGGGGUUGGAAAGUUUCGGCGGUUGGGGAUGGACUCGCGGCUUAUCAGCUUGUUGGUGGGGUAGUGGCUUACCAAGGCUUUGACGGGUAGCCGGCCUGAGAGGGUGACCGGCCACCUUGGGACUGAGGUACGGACCAGACUCCUACGGGAGGCAGAAGUGGGGAAUAUUGCACAAUGGGGCGAAGUCUGAUGCAACGACGCCGGGUGCGGGAUGACGGCCUUCGGGUUGUAAACCGCUUUCGCCUGUGACGAAGCGUGAGUGACGGUAAUGGGUAAAGAAGCACCGGCUAACUACGUG
RNAcentral lists this ribosomal RNA (468 nucleotides) under uncultured bacterium. Its description in RNAcentral is "partial 16S ribosomal RNA". It matches the Rfam family "Bacterial small subunit ribosomal RNA", at positions 28 to 507 of the family's 1533-position model. The record is from RNAcentral.